Molecule: small RNA, 27 nt
Filed under: Bombyx mori (domestic silkworm)
Lineage: Eukaryota; Metazoa; Arthropoda; Insecta; Lepidoptera; Bombycidae
Description: ovarian small RNA-4600
Source: RNAcentral
AUCCAUGGAUUGAAAGUGCUGGUAUAA